AUUAAACGCUGGCGGCAUGCCUUACACAUGCAAGUCGAACGGCAGCACGGGGGCAACCCUGGUGGCGAGUGGCGGACGGGUGAGUAAAGCAUCGGAACGUAUCCUGGAGUGGGGGAUAACGUAGCGAAAGUUACGCUAAUACCGUAUGAGCCCCGAGAGGGGGAAAGAUUUAUCGCCUUGGGAGCGGCCCGCGUCGGAUUAGCUAGUUGGUGGGGUAACGGCCUACCAAGGCUUCGAUCCGUAGCUGGUCUGAGAGGACGAUCAGCCACACUGGGACUGAGACACGGCCCAGACUCCUACGGGAGGCAGCAGUGGGGAAUCUUGCGCAAUGGGGGGCAACCCUGACGCAGCCAUGCCGCGUGAACGAUGAAGGCCUUAGGGUUGUAAAGUUCUUUUACCCGUGACGAUGAUGACGGUAACGGGGGAAUAAGGCUCCGGCUAACUUCGUGCCAGCAGCCGCGGU
This 463-nucleotide ribosomal RNA is filed under the name uncultured bacterium. Its description in RNAcentral is "bacterial SSU rRNA". It matches the Rfam family "Bacterial small subunit ribosomal RNA", at positions 29 to 521 of the family's 1533-position model. The record is from RNAcentral.